RNAcentral lists this ribosomal RNA (253 nucleotides) under uncultured bacterium. RNAcentral describes it as "partial 16S ribosomal RNA". It matches the Rfam family "Bacterial small subunit ribosomal RNA", at positions 524 to 776 of the family's 1533-position model. The record is from RNAcentral.
UACGUAGGGGGCAAGCGUUGUCCGGAAUCAUUGGGCGUAAAGCGCGUGUAGGCGGCCCGAUAAGUCCGCUGUGAAAGUCCAGGGCUCAACCCUGGGAUGCCGGUGGAUACUGUCGGGCUCGAGUCCGGAAGAGGCGAGUGGAAUUCCCGGUGUAGCGGUGAAAUGCGCAGAUAUCAGGAGGAACACCAAUGGCGAAGGCAGCUCGCUGGGACGUGACUGACGCUGAGACGCGAAAGCGUGGGGAGCAAACAGG